RNAcentral lists this ribosomal RNA (574 nucleotides) under uncultured fungus. RNAcentral describes it as "eukaryotic LSU rRNA". The stretch from base 403 to 574 matches the Rfam family "Eukaryotic large subunit ribosomal RNA", at positions 1 to 170 of the family's 3401-position model. Lineage: Eukaryota; Fungi. The record is from RNAcentral.
CUCUCGCAUCGAUGAAGAACGCAGCGAAAUGCGACAAGUAAUGUGAAUGNCAGAAUUCAGUGAAUCAUCGAAUCUUUGAACGCACCUUGCGCUCCUUGGUAUUCCGAGGAGCAUGCCUGUNUGAGUGUCAUGAAUCUCUCAACUCUUAACGUUUCUGUAAUGGAUUCAUUGAGAGCUUGGACUUGGAGGCUUGCCGGUAGUCAUUAUCAGCUCCUCUUAAAUACAUUAGCUCUGGAUUACGAUGUAGUUUAUCUACGGUGUGAUACAUGUCUACGCUAUUAGAUAACUACGAACGUUACCAUUCCCUAGAAAUUGGGGAGUAGUGCUUUGUUGAUACAGAGCCGUGUGACUAGUAAAUACAAAGCUUCUAAUCGUCCUUUGGGACAAACUUCUUUUGACAUCUGACCUCAAAUCAGGUAGGACUACCCGCUGAACUUAAGCAUAUCAAUAAGCGGAGGAAAAGAAACUAACAAGGAUUCCCCUAGUAACUGCGAGUGAACCGGGAAAAGCUCAAAUUUAAAAUCUGGCAUCCUUCGGGUGUCCGAGUUGUAUUCUGGAGAAGCGUCUUCCGUGC